Xyrichtys novacula (pearly razorfish) is the source of this 4911-nucleotide non-coding RNA. The record is from the annotation of a GenBank genome assembly. Lineage: Eukaryota; Metazoa; Chordata; Actinopteri; Labriformes; Labridae.
AUCUAAUCUUUUCUAAUCUAAGACGAUCAUUGAUGCUGAAGUUUUUGUUUAGAUGUUUCUUUAGCAGUCUUUUAGAUCUGUCUUUACUGGUAGCUUCAGUUUUAUAGGUUACAUCUUUAUGACAGCUGGUGAUGGUGCUCAUGGGAAAUGCAGUCCCCAUCCCGCAGAACCAUUUUCAAGUUUUGGUGAAAAGAGUUAAUCUCCUCACAGCAACUUUGAGAGGUUAUUUGAUAACCCCCACUCCAAGCUGAAUGCCAAAUGUGAACACCGUCUUAUACAAUUUUUUCAUACAAUGAAAAAUGUUUCAGAAAAUGAUUGUGUCAGAUUGGAGGUAGUCUAAUCCUCCACAGAUCGCUCUGGUAAAUGUUUCCUUGGACCUGGUGUUUUGAUAUCUGUAAAUGGCACAAAGGUUUUCUCAGCGUCUCUCUAAAGAACUCUUUAGAAGUUGAAAUCUCAGUUCCAAUCUGCUUUUCCAGGGUUUCAGCACAUCAAGCAAUCUAACAUGCUCACCACACACGCCUGCUGCCAGGAGAACACUUCUGAAAGAGCAGUCCUCAGGAGUUAACCGAGGAUUGUUGUGAUGGAAAGAGAUUGCACUCUUCAGUCUUCUGCCAGUUUUUUUUUUUUUUUUUUUUCUGUCCCACUGCAACUUUUAGAGUUUGCCCUGGGACAGAGAAGAAGAAAGACCCAUUACCCACACUGCACUGAACCACAGGUCUGUGCUACUGUAGUGCUGGCUCCUCCCGUCUCUCUUAUGGUUAAUUUAUAUGAUUAAAAAAUUCCUCCCAGAUAAGACUUUAAGCUUCUCAUUCCUCACAGACUCUUAUUAAAGUGCAACACUACAGGGACUUUCUGAACUGCACUUUUUAUGAAUCAAAUAAUGCACUCAAACGCACAGAGUAUACAAACUUGGAUAGACUUUAUAUUUCACUGAUAGAGGUUUGAUGAGAUUACAACACAAACAAACCUGCCGUUACUCUAUUAAUAUGCAGGCAUCACAUCAGCCCCUCUACCUGCAACAGCAACAGAAUAAAAGUCCCUGAGAUCUAAAGUUAACAGAAGCUUCUCCACGCGAGAAGAAAAAAGUGGUGGUUGCCAAGAAAAACUAUUCUUAUCCUCGAUUGGGAGAUUUAGAGGCCUAUCAGGCUGUCAUCACUCAGGCACAAUAAUUGUACAGCCUAAUUACUAUAACUUGAAUCACAUCCUGGAUCCUGUUAUCUUAUCUUGGCUUGACUGGUGCUGCACAGUUAGAAGCUUUUGUCUGUCGUGACAACUACUAUCAUUACAACUCUCCUGUCUGUGCGCUUAAAGCUGAAUGCCGACUGGAGUUUUAGCCAACAACAAGCUGCAUCCAGGUUCAUGUCGGUACCUCUUAUUAUGACAUGCUGGUGGUACGGCAACAGGCAAAUAUAUAUUGAACUUUAACUAUUUAUUUAAUGUGAUACCUUCUGUUUAUAUAAGCAUGCAGCCCAAAGAACUACACAACAAAGAGGGGAAAUAAAGAGAAAAUUUGUCUGCAACAGUGGAAAAAAUAAAACAAACAAAUAAAAGGUAAUAAAAUAAUUGAAAUGAAAUCAUAACUUGAAUUAAUUACUUCAAAGUAAAAUAAUAAACAGAAGUCAGUAAAUUUAAUUAGAAUAUGUAAAAGUUGAACAAUAGAACAAAAUACCAAAAAUACAGUGAAAUCAAAAAAGACUUUGACCAAAAUUAUGAAAUCACUGCAAAUUUAAUGUUUCAUGUACUUUGAACAUUUUCCACCAAUUAGAUAUAAGAACUGAAGAGAGCCAGGAAACAUGGGGGGCAGAGAGUAAUGGAGAAGCUACAAACGGUCUUGGUCGAUUUCACACCAUGCACCAGUAAAAUCAUCCACUUGCUUAAUUUGUGCGCAUCUGGACAAGUGAAUGUUUAUUUACUCCUUUCUUCAUGGGAAUGACUCAAUUCACAUGUUUGUAUCCCAUCUGCAGAGAGCCCAAACACACCUGUGAUUAUGGGAGGAAAGUGAAAGAAAGGAGGGGUCCCUGCGAGGUUAGUCUCUUUACAUCAAAUAUAGCAGAGGUUGACCACACCGUGAAUAUCUGUUGAGUUUUAAUAACUUAUAACCAGACCUCCACACUCACUCUCCUCCAGCUGGGCUCUUUUUAACUCCUGUUUUGGCCACAUACAAUAAAUCCUCCAUUUUCCACAUAAAUGAAACUCUGCUGGUCGUUUGUUGACAUACGUCACCAGGGUAUCUCCAUGCUGAUUGGUUAUCGUGGGGCAAACAUUCACUUAAAAAAAGAACAAAACUAAUUUUUCUGUUUCGUGAUUUAUUGAUGCUGGAGGCUCAGCCUGAGGUUUGGUCACUAAAGCCAUCUAUCUUUGCCCCGAUCUGCUGGAUUCAUUCACUGAGCAGCAAUGAAUGAAUCCAGACCAAAACCCAGCAGUGGACAAAAAGUAGAGAAACUGUUUCAGGAAGAUGUCUUUUUUUCUUUUCUUUUCUUUUUUUUUUAUAAUUCCAGUCAAAAGUCAAUAAACUCAUGAGUCAAGUUAACAUCCCCAUACAACAUUUUGUCUAUAUUAUUAGGGGUUAUCCAGUUGAACCUCGCCUCUCUCCACAUACCAGUGGAAUUGCUGUCUCCUACACACUGAGGGAGGAUACACUAAUUAUACUGAAAAGGUGAGACAGAGUGGUGGAAGUCUUGUGUAUUCACUUCAUAUAAUUUAGUACAUAACUUCUGUCAGUAUUUGACCUUUUUGUGUUCUAACUUGAGUUUCUGAGCUACUAUCCUUUCAGACAAACUCUCCCGGUUGCCUGUACAGUGUGAGAAGUUCACAGGGAAGAUUGAAGCAGACUAUUGUUCUCCAUUGACCAUAUCUCAAUCUCCAUCUGCCCCUGAAAGGCUGAAGCUCGAGGGAAACUAUGGGGACAAUUUCAGUCCCAUUCUCUGCUGUGAGUCUCUGACACCGAGGCCAGAAAAGAGUGCUGGAGAGAGCAGCAGAGAUUAUUUGCUCAUGGUAAUGAUGCUCUGAGAGAGAAGAUGAAGGGGGUCCCAGACUCUUCUUCACUGCUGAGUGUUGGUAAUGUUGAAAGCUGUCAAUACAUGAAAAGUAGCUUGCUAUUUGAUGGCACAGGAUGGCACUAUCAAGGUUGGAAGCUGUCCAGUCGGGUAUUUUUUUCACUGUGGCUGCCUGAGAUAGGAUUUUGUCAUGAUCCUUUUCUUAUUUAAAAGAAAUAAAAUGCAGUAUACUGGAAAAUAUAAGAAGUAUAAAUGACUUUUGAAAACAACUUUUAAAUGUCCUCCAUUGAAGCAAGAGCCAAUGUUAAAAAAAAGGUACAAGUUAAAAUAUUUCUUCCUUUUUUUUUUUUAAAACACCCUGAUUUUGAUGGCUUUUUUUUUUUAUACAAUUACCCUUACAGAAUUCAGGACACUGACCAAAAUUUCGACUUUACAUGGGAACAACUUUAUAAGUGUAUUCUGGCCCAAGUGAUAAUCAAAUACAAGCCUACUAGUCCUUGAGCAUAAAUGAAAGGUAACGAAACUGAAGGAGGGAAAACAGGGAUACAGUAUGUAUAGAUAUUUAUUUUUCCAAACAUAAAACACUGAGCACGCACAUGUACUGAGCCACAUUUCUCAGGUAUAUUCUUGGUUAAGAAUAGAUGAAAAAUGUCUGUUACAAAAAAACACUUUUUUUGUAACAAUGUUUUUUUACAUUGAUCUUGGCUUGGGAAAAUGUAACAUAUGGUGAUGCCACAGAUGGGUUUUCUUUGAGAAUCUUGGGCUGAUCGCAUUAAAGCCAAAAUACUGGUUUGGGACUUUUUUAGCAUAAUUCAGUGGGAUGCAAUAUUACCAGUUAAUGUUGUCAAUUUGCUUUGAUUAUAAGAUGCUUUGAUUAUAACCAUAUUUAAUAUGAAACAUUGUAUGAUAUGAGUCAAAGGAACUAGCUCCUCACAAAGGUGUGCAUAUGUGUGUAUAUGUGUGCAUAUGUAUGCACGCAGACACAAACAGUGAACAUAAUGGAGGAGUAGGCAUGCCGCCUCCUUAUGCCAAUUUUCUUCCUGUUUUUAAAAUGAGCAGCUGAUUGAAAUGCAAAGUGGCACCUGAAAAUGUACAGGGUUUCAGUUAAGAACUGAGUUUAUUUACUUGAAUCUUAGGUACAGAGAGGAAAGGAGAUAUGUAGAAAGAGAGAGAGAAAGAAUAAAAAAAGGGGGAGGUGGGUAGACAUGAAGACAAUUUCAGGAAACGGGAUUAUUGAGAGAUGGGAAAAUAAGCCUUCAUUAGAGUUACAUUAGGUCUUCAUUGUUUCUCAUUUAUCAGAAUUAGCUGAACAUCCAGAAAAUAUGCAGAUUGGUUUCGAUGCCAAUACAGCAACAGAUGAUUAUCUUCUUCUUCAGCAGUGGCACAGGUCCAGGUCUUUUCUGGGGUCGGCUUUUAGGAAAUAGGAGACAGGCACAAUAAGUUCGACAGAAAAUGAUUCUGUGCAAUAAAAGAGCAAAUCAGACACUCAAAGAAAGUUUGCUUUUCUUUGACAAAAAUAAACACUGCUGGCUUGUGUAGUAUUCAUUAGCACUAGAAUACUUGGUGGAAAAAUGUGGCUUUCUGCUUGAAAUGUAAAGUAGCUUGUAAAAUGGUGAUAUCACUAAAACUCUCUGUUUGUCGAUGUUAAAUUCCUCUAAAAUCAAGAUUGGCCACAGGGGAUUACAAGAAAGUUCCGAGAACCAUAAAUCCGGCUCUUUGUGACUGGAACAAUGUUCAUGUCAAAUUGUCGCUUUUGCUCUCCUCACAUUAUAGGGUUAAAACUAUUAAAUCUGUCUUUAUUUAUUCAUCUGUUGGUGCUCACAUAUUCAACAGCGGUUAAGAUUUGAGAAACCUGUUUGUGUGGGCCAGCCUUCAUUGAAAGGGUUUGUGGGUGGAGCAGAUAUAGAGCCCCACC